Molecule: ribosomal RNA, 467 nt
Filed under: uncultured bacterium
Lineage: Bacteria
Description: partial 16S ribosomal RNA
Rfam family: Bacterial small subunit ribosomal RNA
Source: RNAcentral
ACGAACGCUGGCGGCGUGCUUAACACAUGCCAGUCGAACGGAAAGGCCCUGCUUUUGUGGGGUGCUCGAGUGGCGAACGGGUGAGUAACACGUGAGUAACCUGCCCUUGACUUUGGGAUAACUUCAGGAAACUGGGGCUAAUACCGGAUAGGAGCUCCUGCUGCAUGGUGGGGGUUGGAAAGUUUCGGCGGUUGGGGAUGGACUCGCGGCUUAUCAGCUUGUUGGUGGGGUAGUGGCUUACCAAGGCCUUGACGGGUAGCCGGCCUGAGAGGGUGACCGGCCACAUUGGGACUGAGAUACGGCCCAGACUCCUACGGGAGGCAGCAGUGGGGAAUAUUGCACAAUGGGCGGAAGCCUGAUGCAGCAACGCCGCGUGCGGGAUGACGGCCUUCGGGUUGUAAACCGCUUUCGCCUGUGACGAAGCGUGAGUGACGGUAAUGGGUAAAGAAGCACCGGCUAACUACGUG